UAUAACCUAAGUUAUCAACUAAGAGCACAUUAUGAACAAAAGUUUCACCAUCCUUACCAACAUCACCUAUUCCAAUUGUCUUAGCUUUCACAUCAUCACCAAAUGUCACCUUCCCACUUGAUUUUGAUUUCAGCUUUAUGAACAAAGAAGGAUCACCAGUCAUAUGCCUUGAGCAGCCGCUAUCAAUAAACCAUUUUGACUUGUUUGAGCCUUUUUCCUGAAAAGAGAAAGUGUUUGGUACCCUUUUUAAUUUUUGGGUCCACAAUAGUUAGCAUUGUAUCUAACUAACCACAUGCAUUUCAUCCCUUUGUUCAAAUUUCUUUUCACAUAGCAAUCACCUUUCAAAUACCCUUUUUGACAACAAA
Molecule: long non-coding RNA, 365 nt
Filed under: Coffea arabica (coffee)
Lineage: Eukaryota; Viridiplantae; Streptophyta; Magnoliopsida; Gentianales; Rubiaceae
Description: long non-coding RNA (CARA_LNC001272)
Source: RNAcentral